UACGGAGGGUGCAAGCGUUGUCCGGAAUCACUGGGCGUAAAGGGCGCGUAGGCGGCUCAUGAAGGCUGUGGUGAAAGUCCGGGGCUCAACCUCGGAUCGGCCGUGGCGACUCGUGGGCUGGAGCACUGUAGAGGCGGGUGGAAUUCCGGGUGUAGCGGUGGAAUGCGUAGAGAUCCGGAAGAACACCAGUGGCGAAGGCGGCCCGCUGGGCAGUGGCUGACGCUGAGGCGCGACAGCGUGGGGAGCAACAGG
RNAcentral lists this ribosomal RNA (252 nucleotides) under uncultured bacterium. RNAcentral describes it as "partial 16S ribosomal RNA". It matches the Rfam family "Bacterial small subunit ribosomal RNA", at positions 524 to 775 of the family's 1533-position model. The record is from RNAcentral.